GGAUGUGAGGGCGAUCUGGCUGAGACGUCUGUUAUCCCAUUGAUCACCAGGGUUGAUUCAGCUGACCUGGCUGGCUAGGCGUGUGUCCCCUUCUUCUCUCACCGUUCCAUAUGCGUCCCUCCUGAAGCUGCGAGCUGGGUGGAAGAAGACGUCCAUCCCCGAUAGAAGAAGUCCAGCCUUCGCUCACAGGUAUAGUAGUUGUGCUCCCCUGCUAGACUCUCCACACAAGCUCUCAAAAGUAGUUUAGAGCCAUGAGCAGUCAGGAGUGAGGACGUGGUUGCCACUUACUUGGUGGCAGGCAUGGACACGUGGUGCUGCCGGCCUG
This 325-nucleotide small nuclear RNA is filed under the name Cebus imitator (Panamanian white-faced capuchin). RNAcentral describes it as "7SK RNA (ENSCCAG00000005471.1)". It matches the Rfam family "7SK RNA". From Rfam's summary of the family: 7SK was discovered as an abundant small nuclear RNA in the mid-70s but a possible function has only recently been suggested. Two independent studies have found that 7SK RNA binds the CDK9/cyclin T complex (known as elongation factor P-TEFb). The record is from RNAcentral. Lineage: Eukaryota; Metazoa; Chordata; Mammalia; Primates; Cebidae.